Schistocephalus solidus is the source of this 83-nucleotide non-coding RNA. Lineage: Eukaryota; Metazoa; Platyhelminthes; Cestoda; Diphyllobothriidea; Diphyllobothriidae. The record is from Rfam.
GGCCUCGUAGCUCAGUUGGCUAAAACAUUGGCUAUACUAAAGCCUUCUCAUUACUGGCGUGGGUUCGAAUCCCAGCGAGGCCA